UACGGGGGGGGCAAGCGUUGUUCGGAAUUACUGGGCGGAAAGGGUUCGUAGGUGGCCAACUAAGUCAGACGUGAAAUCCCUCGGCUUAACCGGGGAACUGCGUCUGAGACUGGAUGGCUUGAGUUUGGGAGAGGGAUGCGGAAUUCCAGGUGUAGCGGUGAAAUGCGUAGAUAUCUGGAGGAACACCGGUGGCGAAGGCGGCAUCCUGGACCAACACUGACACUGAGGAGCGAAAGCCAGGGGAGCAAACGGG
This 253-nucleotide ribosomal RNA is filed under the name uncultured bacterium. Its description in RNAcentral is "partial 16S ribosomal RNA". It matches the Rfam family "Bacterial small subunit ribosomal RNA", at positions 524 to 776 of the family's 1533-position model. The record is from RNAcentral.